GUUGGUACCACGGAGCACCCAGUCGUAGCCGAUGUUCCACAGGAGCGGCCCGAGGACCGAGCCCUGCGGGACACCGCACGACAUCGCUCUACGGUGCCAC
This 100-nucleotide microRNA precursor is filed under the name Manduca sexta (tobacco hornworm). Its description in RNAcentral is "microRNA mse-mir-3389 precursor". The stretch from base 19 to 85 matches the Rfam family "mir-3389 microRNA precursor family". The record is from miRBase by way of RNAcentral. Lineage: Eukaryota; Metazoa; Arthropoda; Insecta; Lepidoptera; Sphingidae.